UUAAGUGACGAUAGCCUAGGAGAUACACCUGUACCCAUGCCGAACACAGUAGUUAAGCCCUAGAACGCCUGAAGUAGUUGGGGGUUGCCCCCUGUGAGAUAUGGAAGUUGCUUAGC
This 116-nucleotide ribosomal RNA is filed under the name Streptococcus equi subsp. zooepidemicus. Lineage: Bacteria; Bacillati; Bacillota; Bacilli; Lactobacillales; Streptococcaceae. The record is from RNAcentral.